RNAcentral lists this ribosomal RNA (561 nucleotides) under Triticum aestivum (bread wheat). RNAcentral's name for it is "partial small subunit ribosomal RNA". Lineage: Eukaryota; Viridiplantae; Streptophyta; Magnoliopsida; Poales; Poaceae. The record is from RNAcentral.
GAAUAUUUGAGUCACGAAUUUGGCACGCACUUAAGGAAAUGUGGAAUUGUUCCACAACUCACGCCGCCUAGAAUACCUCAGCGUAAUGGUGUGUACAAACAUCAUAAUCGCACUCUAUUAGAUAUGGUGCGAUCUAUGAUGUCUCUUACCGAUCUACCGCUAUCAUUUUGGGGUUAUGCUAUAGAGACUGCCGCAUUCACUUUAAAUAGGGCUCCGUCGAAAUCCGUUGAGACGACACCGUAUGAAUUGUGGUUUGGCAAGAAACCUAAGCUGUCGUUUCUGAAAGUUUGGGGAUGCGAUGCUCAUGUCAAGAAACUUCAACCUGAAAAGCUCGAACCCAAAUCGGAAAAAUGUGUCUUCAUAGGAUACCCUAAAGAAACUAUUGGGUAUAGCUUCUAUCUUAGAUCCGAAGGCAAGACCUUUGUUGCCAAGAAUGGAUCCUUUCUAGGGAAAGAGUUUCUCUCGAAAGAAGUAAGUGGGAGGAAAGUAGAACUUGAUGAAGUAUUGCCUCUUGAACCGGAGAGUGGCGCAGCUCAAGAAAUUGUUCCUGAGGUGUCUGCA